UACGUAGGGGGCAAGCGUUGUCCGGAUUUAUUGGGCGUAAAGAGCGUGUAGGCGGCCAUACAGGUCCGUUGUGAAAACUCGAGGCUCAACCUCGAGACGUCGAUGGAAACCGUAUGGCUAGAGUCCGGAAGAGGAGAGUAGAAUUCCUGGUGUAGCGGUGAAAUGCGCAGAUAUCAGGAAGAACACCCGUGGCGAAGGCGGCUCUCUGGGACGGUACUGACGCUGAGGAGCGAAAGCAUGGGGAGCGAACAGG
This 253-nucleotide ribosomal RNA is filed under the name uncultured bacterium. RNAcentral's name for it is "partial 16S ribosomal RNA". It matches the Rfam family "Bacterial small subunit ribosomal RNA", at positions 524 to 776 of the family's 1533-position model. The record is from RNAcentral.